This 462-nucleotide ribosomal RNA is filed under the name uncultured bacterium. RNAcentral describes it as "partial 16S ribosomal RNA". It matches the Rfam family "Bacterial small subunit ribosomal RNA", at positions 28 to 507 of the family's 1533-position model. The record is from RNAcentral.
GAUGAACGCUGACAGAAUGCUUAACACAUGCAAGUCUUUGGCGAAGCUGUGCUUGCACAGCCUAGCCAAGGCGGACGGGUGAGUAACGCGUAAGGAACUUGCCCUGCAGUCAGGGAUAACAGACGGAAACGACUGAUAAGACCUGGUAAAGUCAGGCGGACUCAUGUCCAGCCUGAUGAAAAGAGAUGCUGCAGGAGAGCCUUGCGUCCUAUUAGCUUGUUGGUGGGGGAACGGCCCACCAAGGCGAUGAUAGGUAGCCGGCCUGAGAGGGUGGACGGCCGCAAGGGGACUGAGAUACGGCCCUUACUCCUACGGGAGGCAGCAGUGGGGAAUAUUGGACAAUGGGGGCAACCCUGAUCCAGCAAUUCUGUGUGCACGAUGAAGGUUUUCGGAUUGUAAAGUGCUUUCAGCAGGGAAGAAAAAAUGACGGUACCUGCAGAAGAAGCGACGGCUAAAUACGUG